GUAUUAGCUAGUUGGUGAGGUAACGGUUCACCAAGGCAACGAUACGUAGCCGACCUGAGAGGGUGAUCGGCCACACUGGAACUGAGACACGGUCCAGACUCCUACGGGAGGCAGCAGUAGGGAAUCUGCCGCAAUGGGCGAAAGCCUGACGGAGCAACGCCGCGUGAGUGAUGAAGGUCUUCGGAUCGUAAAGCUCUGUUGUUAGGGAAGAACAAAUGUGUAAGUAACU
Molecule: ribosomal RNA, 229 nt
Filed under: Staphylococcus chromogenes
Lineage: Bacteria; Bacillati; Bacillota; Bacilli; Caryophanales; Staphylococcaceae
Description: partial 16S ribosomal RNA
Rfam family: Bacterial small subunit ribosomal RNA
Source: RNAcentral